UGACAGUACUCCUACGGGGAGGCAGCAGUGGGGGAAUAUUGCACAAUGGGCGCAAGCCUGAUGCAGCCAUGCCGCGUGUGUGAAGAAGGACCUUCGGGUUGUAAAGCACUUUCAGUCGUGAGGAAGGUAGUGUAGUUAAUAGCUGCAUUAUUUGACGUUAGCGACAGAAGAAGCACCGGCUAACUCCGUGCCAGCAGCCGCGGUAAUACGGAGGGUGCGAGCGUUAAUCGGAAUUACUGGGCGUAAAGCGCAUGCAGGUGGUUUGUUAAGUCAGAUGUGAAAGACCCGGGGCUCAACCUCGGAAUAGCAUUUGAAACUGGCAGACUAGAGUACUGUAGAGGGGGGUAGGAAUUUCAGGUGUAGCGGUGAAAUGCGUAGAGAUCUGAAGGAAUACCGGUGGCGAAGGCGGCCCCCUGGACAGAUACUGACACUCAGAUGCGAAAGCGUGGGGAGCAAACAGGAUUAGAUACCCUGGUAG
This 478-nucleotide ribosomal RNA is filed under the name uncultured bacterium. RNAcentral describes it as "bacterial SSU rRNA". It matches the Rfam family "Bacterial small subunit ribosomal RNA", at positions 328 to 793 of the family's 1533-position model. The record is from RNAcentral.